UAGGACUCUCGGCAAUGGAUAUCUUGGCUCUUGCAUCGAUGAAGAGCGCAGCGAAAUGCGAUAGCGCGUGGUGUGAAUUGCAGAAUCCCGUGAACCAUCGAGUUUUUGAACGCAAGUUGCGCCCGAGGCCAAUUGGCUAAGGGCACGUCUGCCUGGGCGUCAAGCGC
RNAcentral lists this ribosomal RNA (167 nucleotides) under Pterostylis vittata. Its description in RNAcentral is "5.8S ribosomal RNA". It matches the Rfam family "5.8S ribosomal RNA". From Rfam's summary of the family: 5.8S ribosomal RNA (5.8S rRNA) is a component of the large subunit of the eukaryotic ribosome. Lineage: Eukaryota; Viridiplantae; Streptophyta; Magnoliopsida; Asparagales; Orchidaceae. The record is from RNAcentral.